CCUACGGGCGGCAGCAGUGGGGAAUUUUCCGCAAUGGGCGAAAGCCCGACGGAGCAACGCCGCGUGAGGGAUGAAGGCCUCUGGGCUGUAAACCUCUUUUCUCAAGGAAGAAGAUCUGACGGUACUUGAGGAAUAAGCCACGGCUAGUUCCGUGCCAGCAGCCGCGGUAAUACGGGAGUGGCAAGCGUUAUCCGGAAUUAUUGGGCGUAAGCGUCCGCAGGCGGCCCAUCAAGUCUGCUGUUAAAAAGUGGAGCUUAACUCCAUCAUGGCAGUGGAAACUGUUGGGCUAGAGUGUGGUAGGGGCAGAGGGAAUUCCCGGUGUAGCGGUGAAAUGCGUAGAUAUCGGGAAGAACACCAGUGGCGAAGGCGCUCUGCUGGGCCAUAACUGACGCUCAUGGACGAAAGCCAGGGGAGCGAAAGGGAUUAGAUACCCUUGUAGUC
This 441-nucleotide ribosomal RNA is filed under the name uncultured bacterium. RNAcentral describes it as "bacterial SSU rRNA". It matches the Rfam family "Bacterial small subunit ribosomal RNA", at positions 338 to 795 of the family's 1533-position model. The record is from RNAcentral.